This 424-nucleotide ribosomal RNA is filed under the name uncultured bacterium. RNAcentral describes it as "bacterial SSU rRNA". It matches the Rfam family "Bacterial small subunit ribosomal RNA", at positions 355 to 776 of the family's 1533-position model. The record is from RNAcentral.
UAAGGAAUAUUGGUCAAUGGACGCAAGUCUGAACCAGCCAUGCCGCGUGAAGGAUUAAGGUCCUCUGGAUUGUAAACUUCUUUUAUUUGGGACGAAAAAGGGCCUUUCUAGGUCAACUGACGGUACCAGAUGAAUAAGCACCGGCUAACUCCGUGCCAGCAGCCGCGGUAAUACGGAGGGUGCAAGCGUUGUCCGGAAUCACUGGGCGUAAAGGGUGUGUAGGCGGUGCGAAAAGCCAGGCGUGAAAGCCCGGGGCUCAACCCCGGAAGUGCGCUUGGAACUAUUGCGCUAGAGUCUUGGAGAGGUUGGCGGAAUUCCAGGUGUAGAGGUGAAAUACGUAGAUAUCGGGAAGAACACCUGAGGCGAAGGCGGCUAUCUGGCGGUGCACUGACGCUGAGGCGCGAAAGCGUGGGGAGCAAACAGG